Molecule: transfer RNA, 59 nt
Filed under: Steinernema carpocapsae
Lineage: Eukaryota; Metazoa; Nematoda; Chromadorea; Rhabditida; Steinernematidae
Description: tRNA-Glu
Source: RNAcentral
GGGGGUAUUAGUAUAAUAAAGUACGUUUCUCUUUCUAAGAAAAGGUUAUUGUACCUCUU